Molecule: signal recognition particle RNA, 298 nt
Filed under: Cebus imitator (Panamanian white-faced capuchin)
Lineage: Eukaryota; Metazoa; Chordata; Mammalia; Primates; Cebidae
Description: Metazoan signal recognition particle RNA (ENSCCAG00000006230.1)
Rfam family: Metazoan signal recognition particle RNA
About the family: The signal recognition particle (SRP) is a universally conserved ribonucleoprotein.
Source: RNAcentral
GUUGGUCGCGGUGGCACGUGCCUGUAGUCCCAGCUGCUCGGGAGACUGAGGUGGGAGGAUCGCUUGAGCCCAGGAGUUCUGGGCUGCAGUGUGAUAUGCAGAUCGGGUGUCCACACUAAGUUCAGCAUCAAUAUGGUGACUUCCCAGGAGCGGGGGACCACCAGGUUACCUAAGGAGGGGUGAACCAGCCCAGGUUGGAAACGGAGCAGGUCAAAACUCCCACGCAGUCAGUAGUGGGAUCGCCCCUGUGAAUAGCCACCACACUCCAGCCUGGGCAACACAGAGAGACCCUAUCUCU